CCACGGGUGGUAAAAUGCCUUCAACUAGCGGCGAGUGAGCGGCAAAAGCUCAAAUUUGAAAUCUGGCGUCUUUGGCGUCCGAGUUGUAAUUUGAAGAAGGUAUCUUUGGGCCCGGCUCUUGUCUAUGUUCCUUGGAACAGGACGUCACAGAGGGUGAGAAUCCCGUGCGAUGAGAUGACCCGGGUCUGUGUAAAGUUCCUUCGACGAGUCGAGUUGUUUGGGAAUGCAGCUCUAAGUGGGUGGUAAAUUCCAUCUAAAGCUAAAUAUUGGCGAGAGACCGAUAGCGAACAAGUACAGUGAUGGAAAGAUGAAAAGAACUUUGAAAAGAGAGUGAAAAAGUACGUGAAAUUGUUGAAAGGGAAGGGCUUGAGAUCAGACUUGGUAUUUUGCAUGCUGCUCUCUCGGGGGCGGCCGCUGCGGUUUACCGGGCCAGCAUCGGUUUGGAGCGGCAGGAUAAUGGCGGAGGAAUGUGGCACGGCUUCUGCUGUGUGUUAUAGCCUCUGACGAUGCUGCCAGCCUAGACCGAGGACUGCGGUUUUUAACCUAGGAUGUUGGCAUAAUGAUCUUAAGUCGCCCGUCUUGAAACACGGACCCA
This 595-nucleotide ribosomal RNA is filed under the name Candida albicans. RNAcentral describes it as "eukaryotic LSU rRNA". It matches the Rfam family "Eukaryotic large subunit ribosomal RNA", at positions 66 to 669 of the family's 3401-position model. The record is from RNAcentral. Lineage: Eukaryota; Fungi; Ascomycota; Pichiomycetes; Serinales; Debaryomycetaceae.